AUGGCUCGGUGUCUCCUCAGCGUCCCCGGCCACCAAGGAGACGAGGCCACCUUCAGCCCGGGGCAAUGGCGGCGCGGUCACGUGACACCGGCGGGAUAUUUAAACGCCGCCGUGGGCAAUAUUCCCCUUUCCCUUCGAGGCCUGGACGGGCGGCGGCCGCAGGAUCUGCAGAGUCUACAGCUGUUGUGCAGAUUACCUGACAGGGAAAAAACAAACCUAAAACCAAAAACUUCCUUCCCUGUAAAGCUUCCAUCUGUGUCCUGAAAGGUCUGCAUGGACUGUCCUGAAAUGCCAACUGGCUGUCAAUGUCAUCCAUCAAGGGUCGAGCAAGGACUCACUGUGACAGACACCCUGCCUUGGAGAGAACCUGGGCUGGCUGUACUGAUCCCAGAGUGGUGCAACCUGGCACAGCAGCAAAAUGCAUCCAUGUCAAUGCUCCUGAUAGCAGCAGUCAAAGGAACACAGGCUGGGAACUCAUGGCUCUGUCCCUGCCUCUGGGUGACCGUAGGGAAAUUCUUUAUUGCCUCUCUGCUUCAGAGUCCUCUCCCUUACCUAGAGAAGAAAUCCAGUGUACCCCCAGCUGGGUAGUUGCAACAAAGAUAGAGCAGCACAUCGCUUGGGGCCUGUGAUUUAAAACUGGAUUUUCUUAUUCUGUACUAAUUUCACUGACUAUCACAAAUCUCUAUUUUUUUCAGUCAUGCAUUUAAAAAUCAGAAUAAGCAGACUGGGGCUGGAAGGAUUAAUAUGUUUCCUUUGAUACUAGAAUUCUAGUAUUUUGGACUGUGCACUGCAUUUCUUUUCUCCAAGACUGCAUAUAAAAUGCUAUUUGCUGACUUCUCAUCUAUAUAAUUAAAGCUAGCUCUAUUAUCAGAAGGAUUCUUAUGAGGCUUAGCUGCUCUCC
Molecule: long non-coding RNA, 901 nt
Filed under: Zonotrichia albicollis (white-throated sparrow)
Lineage: Eukaryota; Metazoa; Chordata; Aves; Passeriformes; Passerellidae
Description: lncRNA (ENSZALG00000013324.1)
Source: RNAcentral